RNA transcript from Myotis davidii, 377 nucleotides. It is a transcript of the gene named dolichol phosphate-mannose biosynthesis regulatory protein pseudogene, with no coding region annotated. The record is from RefSeq and is a predicted model, not a curated record. NCBI's taxonomy places the organism in Eukaryota, Metazoa, Chordata, Mammalia, Chiroptera, Vespertilionidae. The transcript has a single exon.
GCAGAGCGUGGGGCAAUGGCCACGGGGACAGACCAGGUGGUGGGUCUCAGCCUCAUCAUCGUGUGCCUCAUCAUCUUCACCUACUAUACUGCCUGGGUGAUUCUCGUGCCAUUCACUGACAGCCAACAUGUCAUCAACAAGUGUUCCCUGCCCCGAACUUAUGCUGUUGCCACCCCACUAGCUGCUGGCCUCCUGGUGCUCCUGUUUGUGGGACUGUUCAUCACCUAUGUGAUGCUGAAAAACCAGAAGGUGACCAAAAAGGCCCGGUGAGGGCCCAGCGGGGAUGCAGCUGCCUCCCCUCCAGUGCACGCCAAGGGCGGGGGCCCACAGGACCUGUGCAGGCACUGCAGCCGCUCAAGCACGGCUGUCCUGCAGAC